UUUUUUCAUUAUUCUUUCUUCCAUUUUCUUUAUUCUCUAGGCUGCAGAAGAGAAGGCGACUCUCCAUUUUCAUCUCCUCUUUAACCUUUCCAUUACUUUUUCAGUUUUUACUACUUCACCACCAUCAUUUCCAGAUGUUGAUUUUAGUCGAUAAUCAAAUGGAUUCUUCAGCUCCAGUUGUUAUUUUGGAUUCAGUUGUGACUAUGGAUGUGGAUCAAUCAACCCCAGCAUCAACCCCUGCUAUUGUGGCUUCCGAUGCUAGUGAACUGCCUCCUCCUACAACCACAAAUGUCGCACAACAGAAUGUUGACGCAACUGUUGCUGAUGACUGACAAGUAUAUGAAGUACUGGGGGUCAUAUGAGGCUAUGAACCCUUUCCUUUUUAUUGUUGUACUGCUUGAUCCUCGCCAAAAAGAAGUUGGAUUGAAUUUCAGGCUUGAGAUCUUGUGCAAGGAUGAUUUGGAAAGGGUUGCUGAGUUGAGGGACUGUGUGAAGAAGGACUUAGAGAGACUUUUCAACGAGUACAAGCUACGUUAUCAGUUGGUAAUGAAGCAACCAGUACUGCACAAGACACUGAAAUGGUUGAGGCAGGUGUGGAUUCGUUGGACAUCAUGGAGGCUCUGUUGAAAGGGAGGCUAGAGAAACGCAGAAUGGAAAGUGUUAGUAUCGAAGGAAGGUCUGAGGUGGAAAGGUACUUAGCUGAUGUAUGUGAGAAUGCUACCCCCCAGUUUGACUUGUUGGGUUGGUGGAAGAACAAUGCUUCCAAGUAUACAGUUUUGUCAUAUAUCGCAAGGGACAUUCUUGCUAUCCCCGUCUCUUCGGUUGCUUCUGAAUCAGCUUUUAGUACAGGGAAGCGUGUCCUUGACCCAUUUUAGAGCUCUUUAUCUCCUAGGACAGUUGAGGCCCUGAUUCUAACACAGAACUGGUUGCGCACACCUCUGGAUAUUGAUGUAUCAAGCUUUGCAGUUGAUAAUGCUGAAGAGAUUGAGACAGAUAUCCUAGGCCCCGUGACUGCAGAAGAUUGAUAGAGGGAGCUAAUGACAGCUAAUGGUAUUCGAUGAAUGUGCUACUUGGAAGAACCUCUGGAUUAAUCUAUCCUAUUGGAGUUUUCACUUACACAUUAGCUGAAGAAUACCUGGAGUUUGCAUAUUAGUUGAAGAAUAAAACCUUAGUGAUAUCGUUCGUUCAUUCUUUAUUCAUUCAUUCUUUAUUCUUACAGAAGUAUCAAAACAGUUGAUUCUGGUUUUCUUUUUGUCUUGCUUUCAAUUUACUUGAGAUUAAAGUUUGGUUAAGAGAUUUUUCAGUAGAUUAUUGAAUUUAUUAUUAUUAUUAGGAAAUUUCUUUUUAGUUUUUACUGUUA
Papaver somniferum (opium poppy) is the source of this 1360-nucleotide long non-coding RNA. RefSeq lists it as uncharacterized. The transcript is spliced from 5 exons. The record is from RefSeq and is a predicted model, not a curated record. Lineage: Eukaryota; Viridiplantae; Streptophyta; Magnoliopsida; Ranunculales; Papaveraceae.